CGGACUCUUCCUCAUCAAACCCAUGUACUCCUUCAGGGGGAGAGAGAUGAAGCAGAAGUAUGUUGGGAAGUUGUCCCGUCCAGGCCGACCCCUUCGAGCCUCCCCCAUCCGUGAGACGGUCAGUUCCAUGGCUCCUGCUCCAACCCCCUCCUCCCACAUCAGACCCCUUGAUGGCAGUCGGGCAUACCACAAGAUCAGUUCAGCGUCGACCACCU
Long non-coding RNA from Haliotis rubra (blacklip abalone), 215 nucleotides. RefSeq lists it as uncharacterized. The record is from RefSeq and is a predicted model, not a curated record. Lineage: Eukaryota; Metazoa; Mollusca; Gastropoda; Lepetellida; Haliotidae. The transcript is spliced from 3 exons.